Molecule: long non-coding RNA, 743 nt
Filed under: Daucus carota (carrot)
Lineage: Eukaryota; Viridiplantae; Streptophyta; Magnoliopsida; Apiales; Apiaceae
Description: long non-coding RNA (DCAR_LNC001394)
Source: RNAcentral
UUAUUUGUUGAUUUAGUGUAUACAGCAUUGCGCUCUUAAAUAAAUUUUGCAGUACAUACUUGGAUUUUUUUUAUUAACUUUGUUGUUGUGAGCUAAAAUUAUUUAUAGGUGCUUCAUGUUUUAAUUUAGUCGUUUUGUCUGCUUUUAUUGUCUAAAUAUGAGGAAGUUGGCCAGGUGCUAGGAAGCAUGAGUGUGGGUGCGGGUACGGGAGUGCGCGGUAUGGGGAUACGGGAAUUCGGCAAAUAUUGCUAUAUUAAAAAUAUAUAUAUAUAUUAUGCAUGUAUUUCAAGAGUUGCAUAUAUAUUCAAACCAAAUAAUCAAAUAAUUAAGUUCAAUAUCCCUUACAAUUUAUAAUAGAAUUAUUUAAUAACACAAUUAUUACACUAUAAGGUAGUUAAGUGAUAAAAUAUUCAACUAAUCACAAAAUUAAUCAUUAACAAGAAUCCCCAAGUAUCGAAAAAUCCCCAAGAAUCAAGAGCACAGUGCGGCAGGUGAGUGAAGAAUCCCUGCUUUCUAGGCCAGGGGUAAUCAAACUUAUCUUAUAUUAUUACUUGCAUAAUAUGUUGUUGCAUAAUAUGUUUUUCUGUAUAAUCCAUUACCAUUUCAAGACUUAAUAAAGGGCAGAUUGAAUUGGUGAUCAUCUUGUGAAGUAUGAGUUUCUUUGUGUGUUUUGUGUGUAUGUGUGUUUUAUAGGGUAAUCAUGACUAGCAAUGUUUGUUUGCAACUGUGAUAUGGCCUGGUUG